This 6063-nucleotide long non-coding RNA is filed under the name Manihot esculenta (cassava). RNAcentral's name for it is "long non-coding RNA (MESC_LNC004801)". Lineage: Eukaryota; Viridiplantae; Streptophyta; Magnoliopsida; Malpighiales; Euphorbiaceae. The record is from RNAcentral.
UGCGCUCUGAUACCAAAUGCUAGGAAUCCCUAACAGAUCUGGUAGUCCCAGUGAUAGUUACUAGAAUAACAGAAAGAGAGAGAAGAGAAAGUGAGGGAGAGAGAAUUUUAGGAGGGAAAAACAGUUAACUUUAUUGAUGAAUGAUUGCCCUGAAUAGGCCUUUCCAGCUGUUUAUAUACAAGUCAGCUAGCUAAAACAAUUGCUCCCGCCCAAACGCUUACUUAUUUCUAUACCUAGUUCUUCUACAUGUCACAUAUUGAUAUUAUGAGUAUGAAUGAAAUAUUGAUAUUAUAAUGAUGUUUAUUGAUUUAAGUGUCAAUUACUAGUUUUGGUGUCAAACAAUUAUUUUUUCUAACUACUGCUGUGUGCAUUUGGCCCCUUUCCCCUUUGACAAACAUGCCAUUAAUUAAGAUAAGAAAAUGACUAAAUAGAAAAAACUACAUGUGUCUUCAUAUAACUUUCUUUUCCUUUCAUUAAUUUUUAUUUUUAGCUUAAAUUGUCAACAGACGAACAGAUAAUGCAGGAUCGGAUGUAGACAAGAGAAGGCUUUAGAUUCCAAUACUCCCAAGCAAAUGAAUGAUGCCAAUGGAACUACAAAUUCAAGUCCAAGAGGGCAAGGCAUAGUGUGUAUAAGAAGGGUACAGGUACAACAAAUCAGAAAGAAAACAAAAAAAAUUAGUACAAUUCCAUAGGCUUUAUGGAAUUCUAAUAACAACGAGAUCAAUCACCAUUUCCCAGAUUAUAGAAACUUAACUUAGUGCAAAGAAUGGUUCAUCCUGGAAAAAUAAAAGCACUCAUUUCUUCUAGAUACUCUUAAUCAAGAAACCUUCCAACUCAAACACUAUACCAAGGAUACAUUAGGGUUUCAGAAACCCAACCAAAGAAUGUGCAGAGGAAAGAAGAAUAGAGAGAGUUUAGGUAGAAAAGAAAAAUGAGAAUUCGUUAGAAGAUAAUAGAAAGUAUUAUUCUUGAUAAUUCUGGAAUGAAUUACAAUAAAGGUCACUGAGUUUGUUAGCAGCAAUAAAGACAAUGUGCAGGUGACUGCAUACUGAAUCUCAAUACAAGUGAAAGAACUCAAAUUAAGACAAACACAGCAGUACAAUAAUGAAAAUAGAAUUGCAUGGAUAAGCCUAAACCAAGCAGAAGUGUUAGCAAACCAAGGGUUGGAACAUCCUCUAAGAACCUUCAACUUUUUUUAUUUAAUACGUAUUGAAAGUUUUAUCCCAUGAAACCAAACUAGAAAAAUAAUAAUAACUUUGAAGUUAAACCAAGUGUCAUAAAACAAGAAUUUCCUAACGGGAAAAAUAAAAAUAAAACAACUAAAAUUAGGUGCAAAACUUACAAUGAUUCGGCCUUCAAUUCUCAGAUCCUUCUACUCAAAAAGCCAUAUUUGAAUGCGGGCUUUCUAUGAGAACCACAUAAAAAAGAGAGAGAAGAAGAAGCAAGUAUUAAGCUUCCCAUUAAGGACAACCUAAUUUAAGCAAACCCAAAUGAGUAAAAGAAUAGAAUAAGCGAAGAACUGACUUACACUUUGAAGAAACCUGAAAAUCAGGUUCUGAUGCAGCAUAUCCCAGUAAGCACAAAGUAAAGCAACAAAUGAGAGGAGGAAGGAGACAAAAAAGCCACAAAUAAAAGUUGGGGGUUAAAGACAACAAGAAGCAUAAGUGUUAAACGUACAAUGGGUUGGGUUAUAAUCCUUUGGACCUUGGUACUAGCCAUGUUGAUGAGCUCUGGAGGAUUCCGGAGGCAAAGAGAAAGUUGAGUUGGAGAGAAGUGCAACCCUAGAACGAUUUGAGCCAAGAGGCAAAUUAGUCAUAUUUUUCUAACCAAAUAGAUUUUUUUUUAGCCAAACCAAAUAGAUAUUUUGUUUUGAGUAAUAUGCGGGGGGAUAAAUUACUCUAAGCUCUCUAUGGUUUGUUAAAAUUAGUUACACAAUACAUAUUUUAAAAAAAUAAUUAAAACAUUUAUUUUAAUUUUAACUACAGAAAUAACAUAAUAUAUAGCAAGCCUAGUCUGGUUUGAUCCAAUGGUAAAAAGAAAUAUUACUCACUUAGGAGACUCAGGCUCAAGUCUGAUACCCCCAAUCCCCUACUUAAAAAUAUAUAUAUAUAGAAAAAAUUACAGAUAUUAAAUAAUAAGAUUCUUAAAAUUACAACAGAUUAAAAGAUAUAAAUAUUAAAAACUAAAAAAAAAAUAUAAUUAAUAUGCCCUUAACAAAAUUAUUAAAGGAUUUGAUUUUAAAAGUAUCACUAUGUUUUAAUUGGGCUUUAAAAAGAUAACAACUAAUGAUUAAUUUUAGCACAAUAUAAAAAUGUGUCAAUAAUUUAUCCUGUGAACCAAAAAUGGCUAACAAAUUGAUAUGGACAAAUCACAGUUACAUUCUUUUUUUCCUUUUUUGAAUAAGUUAAGUUGUUGAAUAUUGGCUUAUUAAUAAUUUGAUUAUCUUAUUUUCUUUUUAAAAAAAAAAAUCAUAGCUUCUUUAUCACUUACAUAUAGAUCAUUUCAUUCCGUUCUUUUUUUUAAGGCUCCUUCUGUUUCCUAGGAAAUAUUUUUCAAGAAAAUGUUUUCUACAUUUGUUGGUAUUUGAGGCACUCAAAAAAAUUAGUCUCACAUAAAAUAUUUUUCUAGUUAAAAGAAAAAUUAACUUAUUUUACAGAAAAUGACUUCCUCUUUUGAGAAUCUUAUUAACACCUUUAUAUAUAAAAUUGUCAAUAUAUUUUAUUUUUUAAAUUAAUAAACAAUGAAAAAUAAGUCAUUUUAUUAGAAAUUUUUUCAAUGAAAACAUUUUCCACCGGAAAAUAUUUUUCAAAUGCAAGUUAUGUUCCACAAACAAACGGCGCCUUAAUUUUGCGAUUAGAAAACCCUAAAAAUAACAAAAGUGUUUUUACUUAAAAUUCCUAAAACCAUUUGAAUUCACAAAUAAAUGUUUGAUUAAUACAAGUGCCAGUAAAUACUUUGCAUACUGAAACCCAUAAAAUUCGGAUAGCUUCAUACAUUCGUCACUCUUUUUAAUUAUAAACAAAGAUUCACACAAACUUUAAGCACAAAACUGAACAGGAGCUGAGACAUAAAAGAACGAAAUAAAAGAAUAAAGUGAAGUUUUUGUAUUUGAUUGCCAAUCAUUUUUUGCAUGCUAUGGUAUCUAUUCAUGCAGUAAACCAAAGAGAUGUUACUGAGGAAAAGGACAGUUAGAAGGAAGAAUAAAUUUAAAAGUCACCUUCAUCAUGAAGGAAUGAAGACAUGAAGCUAAAGAAAAAUGUUUUAUAAAGCUCAUUUUUACAUUUAAGUCAUUACUUUUCAUCCAUUUUCUCAAAGCAUUUUUUUAUUUCUAUCUUUCUUCUUUUCAAAUCACACUCUAAGAAAACAGAUUUUUUGUGGGGAAAGUUUUCCACAUUAUAUCUUGAAUUACACCACUAUAAAAAUUUGUAGUGAAUAUAAAAUUAGUCACAACGUUGCCAUUAGAAGUGUGAAACAAAAGAUCACAGUGGUGAAAUUAUUUCACCACAAAAGCUAUAUUUUCUAUGGGGAAAUAUGAUCCAUUAAAAAUAUAGUUUAUUAGAGAAAAGUUUUCCCACUAAAAAUAAAACUUUUGCAGCGAAAAUCUUCCCCACUAAAAGAUAUGACUUUUGCAGCAAAACUUUUCUUCAUUAAAAGUUUGUCGAUUUGUGGGAAAUUUUUCCCCACUAAAGCAUAUCAUUAUAAUAAAAUAGUUACAAUUGAUUUAGUCAUAGGAGUUUGCUUACAUAUAAUUUAGUAGUUGCCUAUUUAUUAAUACUCAUUUUAUUAAAUCAAUUGAUUAAUAUGAGAAAUAAUAGAUCACCUUAAAAGUAUAUGGUUUCCAUUAUAAAAGAUAUGGAUAUUAAUGUACAAAGAUUUGGGACGACUCCAACCCCUGACUAUAAAAGAUCUCAAUAUGAGGGUUACAAUGAUUCAGUUGAGUUUUGAGUCAACAAUAGCACCUCUAUGGAUGCACUAGUUCUGAUGUGAUAACCAUCUGUCAGAAGUUGACAUUCAGAAUAGACAAAAGCAAGAAAAUUCUCUUAGAACAAUGAGUAAUAUUCUGGCCUCCACCUCUGUUUGUCUUGUCCAGAUGUUCAAACAGAAGCAUUUGUCAAUAUGAAAUACACCAACUUCCAUGCACAUAGUCCAAAAAAUAAAUGAUGCUUUAGGUUCAUUAGUUAGCUAUUGUGUUAAGCGUAAUUGCCCCAAAAAACAAGUGAGCAAAGACAGCUUUCUUAGAAUCUAUGUUUUGGAUUUUUACAAGGUUCCUUUUAACUUCAUCUAUAUUUUAUAGUCAUUUCUUAUUUGUUUUCUUUUGCAUCGAAUUGGAACCUGCAGGUUCAAGUUUUUGCUCUUUCUCAUUGGUAAUCAACUCAUUUUUCAUACUUUUCAUUGAAUUUGCUGUCUUUCAAGUAAAGAAUCCAUGUUAAUCUCAUCAGAAAUGGUAAAUAAAACAUGUCAAGCUCCAAUGGGAUUUUGGCAUUAUCAAUUUAACCAUCAAACUGAAAAAAGAAAAAUCAAAAGGAAUUUUCUUGAUCUAAGACUAUAUAGACACAUGGGUACCUAUUACCUAAACUAAUCUUGUGUUCCUAAACUGAUAAAUUUUGAAUUAAAAAAAAAUCAAAACCAUGGAAUAAUGUGUGUUUUAUAGAUCAUUGUAAUUCAAGGGUGGAUGUUAUUUUUUUGUAAUUGACAGUCAAAAGAAUAUAAUUAUAAUAAAUUGAACUCAAAUAAUUUCAUAAAUCAAUGAAGCAUGUCUGUCAGAUUUGUUUAAAAAUUGUACCACUUCAAAAAUUCAACAUAUCAAUAUAAAUAUAAAUAUAUUAAUUAGGAUAAUAAGAUAAAAUAGAAGUUGCAAUUGCUUACUUAUUGGAACCAGAAUAUUUAGACUUACUAUGAGGCUGGAGAUUAAAGUAGCAGAUGUGUCGAAAACAACUAAUCUGAGAGUUUCUUGAUCCCCCAAAUGCAGACACUAGCUAACAAUUAUAUUAUUAAAUCCACAUGAUUCCAUUGCUACAUGGAACUUUUGUUCCUGGUGCACACCAGGAACUGGUGUCAGUUCCUGGUAUGCACCAGGAAUUAGAAACUGAGACCAGUUCCUGAUGCACGAUCAGGGACUGAUAUCAUUCCCUGGUAUCCACCAAGAACUGAGAUUCAGUUCCUGGUCCAUACCAGUUUUCUAUACACAGAUUUGGUGAUACAAGUUUUUAGACAUACAUAUUGAAGGCAAAUUUACUUGGCACUUUGACAAUCAGCUCAUAGGAUUUUACUACUUAGGAGUAGAAAUAAAUGUGGGAAUUUUUCUUAAUGUUAUCCUCUAUCUACAGCUAGACAAAAAAUAAAUAAGAAAAUGAAAAAUAAAAAGUAUAAUGGGUGCCUUUACACUAUCUCAACUGUCAAUAAUCAUAUACCUAAUCAUUUGAUAGUCUUUAAAACUGUGUAUUCCUUCUGUAUAGAACUAUAUCAGCAGCUUGUAAGUGGGAUUUCUUCACUCUCUCCGUUAUCUUCGAUUCAUGAAUUUAGAAUGACAAUAAUUUCAGUUCCACCAGGAACUGCUCUAACAAUCCAUCACUUAGGGGACAUUGAGAAUUAUUCAAAAACAAUUGGGGGCUACGAGAAUCCAUCACCCCUAAGAUUAUUGAGCUAAAAUAAAAUAUCGAAAAUCAAACCCACAAUAUAUUGUGCCUCCAACCUUAUCGAGCAUUAUAGGUUCUUUUGAACUUUAUAGAAAAUCAAAACAAGACCUCCAACAGUGAAUUUCAUUAAUCUUCCAACAGUCAUUGGUUUGUUAACAUCAUCUAUGGACAAAUUCUCACAACAAAUAAAAGAAAAAUAGAAGUGAGAUAUCAAACCUGGUUGCAAUCGGGCGAAGGAAGAAGAAUGGGCGCCGCAGGUCCUCCAAGAUCAACUACUCGUCAAUCUGGUGUUUGGGGCGAUGGAGAUUGUGCUUUACCAACAAGCAAUAUAGAGAGUGGAGAGGAACUUGACUCGCACGAUAUGGUCCUCCAAACCUUCGUUUUCAGUUCAAGACCCGAGUAACUUCAAUUUAUUUAUUUAUUUUUC